This 301-nucleotide ribosomal RNA is filed under the name uncultured bacterium. RNAcentral's name for it is "partial 16S ribosomal RNA". It matches the Rfam family "Bacterial small subunit ribosomal RNA", at positions 509 to 809 of the family's 1533-position model. The record is from RNAcentral.
CAGUCGCCACGGUAAUACGUAGGUGGCAAGCGUUGUCCGGAAUUAUUGGGCGUAAAGGGCUCGCAGGCGGUUUCUUAAGUCUGAUGUGAAAGCCCCCGGCUCAACCGGGGAGGGUCAUUGGAAACUGGGAAACUUGAGUGCAGAAGAGGAGAGUGGAAUUCCACGUGUAGCGGUGAAAUGCGUAGAGAUGUGGAGGAACACCAGAGGCGAAGGCGACUCUCUGGUCUGUAACUGACGCUGAGGAGCGAAAGCGUGGGGAGCGAACAGGAUUAGAUACCCCCGUAGUCCCUGUCUCUUAUAA